CCCUUAGAUGUUCUGGGCCGCACGCGCGCUACACUGAUGCAUUCAACAAGCCUAGCCUUGACCGAGAGGUCCGGGUAAUCUUUGAAACUGCAUCGUGAUGGGGCUAGAUUAUUGCAAUUAUUAAUCUUCAACGAGGAAUGCCUAGUAAGCGUGAUUCAUCAAAUCGCGUUGAUUACGUCCCUGCCCUUUGUACACACCGCCCGUCGCUCCUACCGAUUGAAUGUGUUGGUGAGGAGCUCGGAUUGGCAGCAGUUGGUGGUUCGCCACCGGCUAUUGCUGAGAAGUCCUCCAAACCGCCCCAUUUAGAGGAAGGAGCAGUCGUAACA
This 326-nucleotide ribosomal RNA is filed under the name uncultured eukaryote. RNAcentral describes it as "partial 18S ribosomal RNA". It matches the Rfam family "Eukaryotic small subunit ribosomal RNA", at positions 1470 to 1796 of the family's 1831-position model. The record is from RNAcentral.